This is a long non-coding RNA of Suricata suricatta (meerkat), 831 nucleotides long. RefSeq lists it as uncharacterized. The record is from RefSeq and is a predicted model, not a curated record. The transcript is spliced from 2 exons. NCBI's taxonomy places the organism in Eukaryota, Metazoa, Chordata, Mammalia, Carnivora, Herpestidae.
GGGCUCCCCUGAUCACAUCCCCUGUGUUCAGCCCUUAGGACUACUUGUAGGAUGGUCUCUCACUUUUCUCUGUCUCCCUCCCAGAGUGGAUGUCCCCAUGCUCGCCAGUGCUCCUCAACGUGGAGCCAGAAGGUGCUCAGCAACCAUCGUUGAUGAGUGAAUGUGUUAAGGGUCCUGGGUGCUCAGAACAUGCUGAGCUUGGGGCACCUGUUCUCCGCCCAGACCCCUGGGAGCCUGUGGGUGGUAGGAAGCACAGCCCACCGAUGAGCUCCAAGGAUGCUCGGUGCCCGGAAUCAGGGCGGGGCUGGAACCUGAGACACCCCAUCCCGGGACACCCCCACCCCAUGUCUCAGAGGCAGCAUGACCCGGAGCUGCUCUGACCUGCCCCCCAGGUGCACCGCAGCGCCUUCCCCCUGUGCUGUGGCCGCCAAUGGGCCGGUGGCUGGCCGACUGGCCAUCAUGGGUGUGGUGGGGGGAAUGUCCCCUUCUUUUGUUCCCUCUGGAGUCUGGUGUCCCUUCAGGGGGGCAUGGCAGCUACCUGCCCAUCCCUGGUUCCUUCUCACCGUGCUUCUGACCCUGACUUCUAUUGAACUCUGGCACCAAGAAGCCCUUUCUUCCAUGGAGAUGACUGCCCUCAGCUCCAGCCAGGUGGUCCUGCCUGUGGAGGGUGGUCUUCUCAAGUUUCCCUACCUGCACUGGUCACUCCAUCGCCACCUGGUGUCCUGAAGAUGCAGCCCCUACUGCCCGUGUGGACAGCCUGUGACAGCCAUGUGUUUGCUUGGGCAAGAGCCAACUGUGUUACACAUAUAUUAAAAGAUAUUUGGCAACAAA